GAAUACAAAGCUCCGAUCGGAACCACAGAUUUGAAGUAGAGCUCGCGGGACAUGGAAACUGGCUCCACAACUUUGAAGACGCUGACGAGAAGGUAAGCGAUCGAGGAACAGAAGGCCAUAUGGAUCAUAGUGAGAGAGAUCGGAAAAGGCCAAUUGUACAUCUUCUGAUCUAGAAUGAAUUUGUUGUAGACGAUGACGGAGAAGCUGAGGAAGAUCCAUAUGGCGACGUAGGCAUAAGAAAGGAGAACUUUCUUGAGAACACUCUCGGAGAUAGCUCCGCCCUUCCCCAUUAUCCGACGACCAAAGCGAAGAUUUCAGAUCGAAAACUGAAAAACGG
RNAcentral lists this long non-coding RNA (337 nucleotides) under Cucumis sativus (cucumber). RNAcentral's name for it is "long non-coding RNA (CSAT_LNC000485)". Lineage: Eukaryota; Viridiplantae; Streptophyta; Magnoliopsida; Cucurbitales; Cucurbitaceae. The record is from RNAcentral.